GUAACUGAUUCAAUGCUUUUGAUACUGGGCUCGGGGCCGUAGGUAAGUGAUGGGAGCACAUUGACAAUGGCCCAGGCUUGGAAGUUGGGGGUUGGAACACUUAAAUGGGCAGUCUCGGUUGUUGACAGGUAGUUUUGGUCAUGAUCUUUGUUGCUGGGGAUAAUUGAUGAUUAGUCAGGGGGUGAGAGCCUUGGAUACUGAAGCAGCGAGUUUGGAAAAUUGGUGAAGCACCUCGCAUACUGAAAUCGUGGCUGUAGGUAAUGGCUGGUGUUUCUGGGAUACUGAUCUGUUGACUGCUGAUAGCUGGUGUAGGGUCUUGGAUACUGACCUGGUGAUUGUGAAUAAUUGGCAAGGGGUCUUGGAUACUGACCAGGCGAUUGCUGCUGGCUGGUGGAGGCUGUUGGAUACUGACCCCGUGACUGUUCCUGGCUGGUGGAGGGUCUUGGAUACUGACCCGGGAAUUGUAGUUCUCAUCCAUAUGAGCAAGGGCUUCAUGUUACUGGCCGUGGCCCUGUGCUGAGUCCUCCUCCCGCCCAUGGCCCUCUCCUCCUGGCCAGUGGUCCUCCGCCUGAACAUGGCCGACUUUGUCUUCAGUUUCCUCUGCCUCGGCAUUGGGCUCCUGAUUUCUCUUCAGCCUGACGCUCUUUUCAGUUAACGGCAAGGCGGUGCACCCAAGUCCGGUGGUGUCCUACCUGGUGACCUCCUACCUGUGCUGGGACGCCAGCGACUUGAUGCUGCACUCCGCCAUCUCCCAGGAGCCGUGUCCUACCUAAGCCCAGUGGGCAUGUGAAGCAGAGGGCAGCCCUUGAAUGCGCGGCGGCUGAGCUACCGCGGGUGGGCCGUGCAGCAGGGCGCAGCGAGGCGGACAUCCAAACAGCGGAACUCAGACGCUGACUCCGAGCGCACCCCGGGCCUUCCCAUUUCAUACACCCUCGAGGAUGAGACCCAAGCACCUCCAAGGAAUAGCACCCGAGGUCUUCAGGACACCGACCGGUAGCCAUGGCCAGAUGCCCGGCCAACCCCUUCAGCGUGGCCACGCCCUGGAUAUUCGACCUCCCCUGAGGCCCCACCCCCUGAUAUCAGGCCACGCCCUCCGAGGGGACCGGUGGCAAACUCCAGCCCUCGCUCUAGGGCCCGCCCUUUGCGGCUUUGUCCCUGCCCACUGGGUCCUCACAGUACCUCCACCCCAGAGGCCCAGCAUCCCCUCCCGUUCUGCAGACACUUGUCCAGCGUCCCGCUGAGCUCGGCAGUGUGGCUAGUUUGUGUGGCCCUGCCCCUGGUGCCCAGCCAGGGUGGUCUGCAUGGAACUUCUUUCCCGGAGUUCCGGCCUCAGCUCCGAUGUCCACCCUUGUCCCCAGGUGGACACAGCACCGCCCAGCAUUUGGUGCAACUCCACCCUUCUGCAGAACGGGCCCCUCCCUGGGAAGGCAUGGCUUGCAAUAACAUCCCUCUGUACCUUUUCUGGCUUCCCCGCCACAAUAAAACCUCUCAGCCUCAGACCUUCCAUUGCCCCCCACCUCCCCACCAGGGCAGGGUCCAUCCUAGUGUGAGUGAACUGUUCUGGCGUCCCUGACUUGCCCUUUGGGA
This 1587-nucleotide long non-coding RNA is filed under the name Homo sapiens (human). RNAcentral's name for it is "HSALNT0261579". Lineage: Eukaryota; Metazoa; Chordata; Mammalia; Primates; Hominidae. The record is from RNAcentral.